RNAcentral lists this long non-coding RNA (344 nucleotides) under Lathyrus oleraceus (garden pea). RNAcentral's name for it is "Pisum sativum (pea) long non-coding RNA (PSAT_LNC034046)". The record is from RNAcentral. Lineage: Eukaryota; Viridiplantae; Streptophyta; Magnoliopsida; Fabales; Fabaceae.
CACUUUUGACUCUUCCUUUUUUUUAUUUUUUUUAUUUUUCAUAAUAUUUUAACUUUCCCUAAUUUUCGACCUAUCACUAACCAUGUCCUCAUCGUAUUCAACUCUCCCUUUUUCCUUUCUCCUAAUCUUACUGGCUGAUUUAUGGCAGAAUUUGUUAAGUUUUUAAAUGGAAUGAUUCCUCGAUGCUUAUCUUCCUUUUCAGCUCAUGUGUGUCAAUGGAAGGAUACUUGGAUGCUUAUAAUCCAAAUUGCUUUGUCUCGCCUACUGGAAUAUUCAUCAAUUGAAUUGAGGUGAGGAUCUAUUUGUACUAUAUUCUUGGAUAGUCAUAUUAAAGUUAACAUCAC